GAUGAAGAACGUAGUGAAAUGCGAUAAGUAAUGUGAACUGCAGAAUUCAGUGAAUCAUCGAAUCUUUGAACGCACAUUGCGCCCGGUAGUAAUCUGCCGGGCAUGCCUGUCCGAGCGUCAUUUCAACCCUCGAACCACUAUUCGCGUAGCUGGAUCGGUGUUGGGGCACUACGGUGGAAUACCCGUAGGCCCCGAAAUGAAGUGGCGGUCCCGCCGCGGCGCCCCCAUGCGUAGUAACAUCUCGUCUCGCAUCGGGUCCCGGCGGAGGCCUGCCGUCAAGCCUAUUUUCUAAUUACAGAUGGUUUGACCUCGGAUCAGGUAGGGUUACCCGCUGAACUUAAGCAUAUCAAUAAGCGGAGGA
Molecule: unclassified non-coding RNA, 361 nt
Filed under: soil metagenome
Description: partial contains 5.8S ribosomal RNA, internal transcribed spacer 2, and large subunit ribosomal RNA
Rfam family: 5.8S ribosomal RNA (bases 1-120)
Source: RNAcentral